RNAcentral lists this ribosomal RNA (644 nucleotides) under Leuconostoc sp. B 240. RNAcentral describes it as "bacterial SSU rRNA". It matches the Rfam family "Bacterial small subunit ribosomal RNA", at positions 70 to 699 of the family's 1533-position model. Lineage: Bacteria; Bacillati; Bacillota; Bacilli; Lactobacillales; Lactobacillaceae. The record is from RNAcentral.
CCCGAGAGGUGCUUGCACCUUUCAGCGAGUGGCGAACGGGUGAGUAACACGUGGAUAACCUGCCUCAAGGCUGGGGAUAACAUUUGGAAACAGAUGCUAAUACCGAAUAAAACUUAGUAUCGCAUGAUAUAAAGUUAAAAGGCGCUACGGCGUCACCUAGAGAUGGAUCCGCGGUGCAUUAGUUAGUUGGUGGGGUAAAGGCUUACCAAGACAAUGAUGCAUAGCCGAGUUGAGAGACUGAUCGGCCACAUUGGGACUGAGACACGGCCCAAACUCCUACGGGAGGCUGCAGUAGGGAAUCUUCCACAAUGGGCGCAAGCCUGAUGGAGCAACGCCGCGUGUGUGAUGAAGGCUUUCGGGUCGUAAAGCACUGUUGUAUGGGAAGAAAUGCUAAAAUAGGGAAUGAUUUUAGUUUGACGGUACCAUACCAGAAAGGGACGGCUAAAUACGUGCCAGCAGCCGCGGUAAUACGUAUGUCCCGAGCGUUAUCCGGAUUUAUUGGGCGUAAAGCGAGCGCAGACGGUUGAUUAAGUCUGAUGUGAAAGCCCGGAGCUCAACUCCGGAAUGGCAUUGGAAACUGGUUAACUUGAGUGUUGUAGAGGUAAGUGGAACUCCAUGUGUAGCGGUGAAUGGCGUAAAAAAAA